Molecule: ribosomal RNA, 1070 nt
Filed under: Corthylus sp. BHJ-2007
Lineage: Eukaryota; Metazoa; Arthropoda; Insecta; Coleoptera; Curculionidae
Description: partial large subunit ribosomal RNA
Rfam family: Eukaryotic large subunit ribosomal RNA
Source: RNAcentral
UAGAGAAGAGUUCAAGAGUACGUGAAACCGUUUAGGGGUAAACCUGAGAAACCCGAAAGUUCGAAGGGAGAAAUUCAUUCGAGUAUCGCUGACGGCGUCAGAUGGUUACGCGACGUGAACGUUUCGGCGUUUCGCGCGCGUUUCCUUUGACGAGCUGUCGGCGAACUCGUGCACUUUUCUUCUGGUAGGACGUCGCGAUCCGUCGGGUGUCGAUCUACGAUCCGCGGUGGAGCCCGUUUGCGGCGUUUCGGCGCUCGUAGACGGACCCGCGAAAUCCGGUCGGCUCGCUCGACGGUAUACAAACGGUUGGAGGCCGCUUUUUUAGCGUCCGACCGAUGGCAAGCACGCCGGACCGUCGGUGAUCGGACUCCGUGCCGAUUCCGACAUCCGGUGACUGUUGGCUGUCGUGUUCUCGGACAGACCUCUAAAUAAAACCGAUCUGCGACGCUAUAGCUUUGGGUAAUUUCAGGACCCGUCUUGAAACACGGACCAAGGAGUCUAGCAUGUACGCGAGUCAUUGGGAAUCGAUAAACCUAAAGGCGAAAUGAAAGUGAAGAUCUUCCUUGCGGAGAUCGAGGGAAGAUGGGCGGUACCGCCUUAAAACGGUCCGCCUUGCAUUCCCGGGGCGUCUCGUUCUCAUUGCGAGAUGAGGCGCACCAAGAGCGUACACGCUGGGACCCGAAAGAUGGUGAACUAUGCCUGGUCAGGAUGAAGUCAGGGGAAACCCUGAUGGAGGUCCGUAGCGAUUCUGACGUGCAAAUCGAUCGUCGGAACUGGGUAUAGNNNNNNNNNNNNNNNNNNNNNNNNNNNNNNNNNNNNNNNNGGGCGAAAGACUAAUCGAACCAUCUAGUAGCUGGUUCCCUCCGAAGUUUCCCUCAGGAUAGCUGGCGCUCGUUGCGUACGAGUCUCAUCCGGUAAAGCGAAUGAUUAGAGGCAUUGGGGUCGAAACGACCUCAACCUAUUCUCAAACUUUAAAUGGGUGAGAUCUCCGGCUUGCUCGAAUUCGUGAAGCCGUGAGAUUUUCGGAUCAGAGUGCCAAGUGGGCCAUUUUUGGUAAGCAGAACUGGCGC